This 261-nucleotide unclassified non-coding RNA is filed under the name Hevea brasiliensis (rubber tree). Lineage: Eukaryota; Viridiplantae; Streptophyta; Magnoliopsida; Malpighiales; Euphorbiaceae. The record is from RNAcentral.
UUCUUGGGUGAGCGUGACGACGCCUUCAACGUUGGAAGUUCCCUUGAGAACGGCGACAGCUUUCUUGGUAGCGGCGACGACGGCGAGGGGUUUGGGGGCGGCGGAGGCAGCGAGGGAGAGGGAGUGGCGAGGUAGCUUGAGAGAGGCGCCAUGGAAGGAGGAGGAGAGGGAAGGGGGAGGGGAAGAAUUGGAGAAAGGGGGCAAUGCGAUGUAGUGGGAAAGGGAAGCAGAGAGAAGGGAUUGAGCGGCCAUAGCUGCAAG